Molecule: ribosomal RNA, 468 nt
Filed under: uncultured bacterium
Lineage: Bacteria
Description: partial 16S ribosomal RNA
Rfam family: Bacterial small subunit ribosomal RNA
Source: RNAcentral
GACGAACGCUGGCGGCGUGCUUAACACAUGCGAGUCGAACGGAAAGGCCCUGCUUUUGUGGGGUGCUCGAUUGGCGAACGGGUGAGUAACACGUGAGUAACCUGCCCUUGACUUUGUGAUAACUUCAGGAAACUGGGGCUAAUACCGGAUAGGAGCUCCUGCUGCAUGGUGGGGGUUGGAAAGUUUCGGCGGUUGGGGAUGGACUCGCGGCUUAUCAGCUUGUUGGUGGGGUAGUGGCUUACCAAGGCUUUGACGGGUAGCCGGCCUGAGAGGGUGACCGGCCACAUUGGGACUGAGAUACGGCCCAGACUCCUACGGGAGGCAGCAGUGGGGAAUAUUGCACAAUGGGCGGAAGCCUGAUGCAGCAACGCCGCGUGCGGGAUGACGGCCUUCGGGUUGUAAACCGCUUUCGACUGUGACGAAGCGUGAGUGACGGUAAUGGGUAAAGAAGCACCGGCUAACUACGUG